GGGGAAUAUUGCACAAUGGGCGCAAGCCUGAUGCAGCAACGCCGCGUGCGGGAUGACGGCCUUCGGGUUGUAAACCGCUUUCAGCAGGGACGAAGCUUUUUGUGACGGUACCUGCAGAAGAAGCACCGGCUAACUACGUGCCAGCAGCCGCGGUGAUACGUAGGGUGCGAGCGUUGUCCGGAUUUAUUGGGCGUAAAGGGCUCGUAGGCGGUUGAUCGCGUCGGAAGUGGAAACUUGAUGCUUAACGUUGAGCGUGCUUUCGAUACGGGUUGACUUGAGGAAGGCAGGGGAGAAUGGAAUUCCUGGUGGAGCGGUGGAAUGCGCAGAUAUCAGGAGGAACACCAGUGGCGAAGGCGGUUCUCUGGACCUUUCCUGACGCUGAGGAGCGAAAGCGUGGGGAGCGAACAGGCUUAGAUACCCUGGUAGUCCACGCUGUAAACGGUGGGUACUAGGUGUGGGGUCCAUUCCACGGAUUCUGUGCCGUAGCUAACGCAUUAAGUACCCCGCCUGGGGAGUACGGCCGCAAGGCUA
RNAcentral lists this ribosomal RNA (531 nucleotides) under uncultured bacterium. RNAcentral's name for it is "bacterial SSU rRNA". It matches the Rfam family "Bacterial small subunit ribosomal RNA", at positions 356 to 896 of the family's 1533-position model. The record is from RNAcentral.